UCCUCCUGCCUCAGCUUCCUGAGUGUUGGGAUCUCAGGCGUGCACCACCAUGCCUGGUUCAGAUCAUUUUCUUUAGAUCUCCUACAAGUCUGUGCCAGGGCUCCCAGUUGGUGUCUCAUCUCUUGCUGCUCUUACAGUUGUCUUCCUUUCCAGGGAGGGCCAAGUGCAGUCAGAAGUGUGCUCUUAACUUACCAUGUUCUCUGUGUUUGUUUCUGGGGAGAGAACACAGAUCCUCCUGAAUACUAGGCAAGUGCUCCCUACUGAGCUACAUUCCUGGUCUCUAUUUAAAACUUCGGAAGUGAAAGGAGUAUUUUUUAAGCUGGAGGAUGGUUUCCUGCAGAUGAAUGUCAUUUCCUUCUCAGUAGCCAACUCUACAACUGCUCCACAUUUUGGUAGUGGGCAUGGUUUUCAUCCCCAAGAGACCACCAGGACCCCUGAAAGAGCAUCCCAUUAGCAAGCCUGAGGCCUGUCUGCCCAGUGUCAGAUGAAUUCUCGAUCUGCCUUUACUGUGAGCCUUCUGAGCUGGCUUUCCCUGUGAUCUGGCUCAUUUUCAUCCCGUGGUCUUCACUGCCCAAAACAUGAUGCCUUCUCAUUUCUCUGGCCUUUGUCCACCAAUUCCUAGCAGACCUCUUCUUUGUGCCUUGUGGCCUUGCCUCCUGAUGCCCUGGGGGUCUACCCAAAGCUAGAGUGACAGACCUGGUCAACUAAGAAAUAGAAACCAGAAAGUCCAGUAGGAACUUCCCCAGUUCCUGAUCACAAGCUCCGUGAAUACCCAUUUUCUGUUGCUUCUCAUACUGCCGCUUUGGUUUUUAGCACUGCUGUGAAGUUGUCACCAGCAUCAAGCUGGAGGGAAACCCAUCCUCCACAACCCGCUCUCAUGCAGUGUUCAGGAGUGAAGGCCACCCUCUCAGCUACACAGAUAAAUGAAUAAGAAGUGCAGGGCUGGCUUGUGAAAUGUGAAUGUUUGUGUUCAAAGGGGCUGCAGAGCCCACCUCAGCCUAAGCCCCCGCUCCCGCACUUAGGGGCUGAGGAAGGAAAGCGACGUAACUGGUCACUGCCUGGUGGAAUUCCAAGCCCAUACUGUGUCUGCAGUAUGUCCCUUCUCUCAACAGGCUCCCACGGGAAAACGAGGGCAUGACUAGGAGGCCCUCCUGCUUAGGGUUAUGAGGAAAGUCCAUACAUUUUUUCUCCCAGAUGUUGCUGGGACCACUGUGUGCAGCUGAUCAUACUGUACAGUGGAAACUGAGGCUGCUGCAGAGCACAGGAAAUCUUCCAGCGGCUGUGCUUGUUGGAAUGCAGGGAGGCUACUGUACAGACCAGACACAGAGGUGCCCACAGUCUUGACAGUGGCUGGCAGAAGCCUUUUCUGCUGUCUCACACAAGGCCAGAACAGGAAUGUCUGCAGUGGCAUCUCGGCUGGGUGAUGUCCGGGUCCAAGGUAUUCAGCUCAUAAAAGCAGCGGGAUCUGAACACAGUGGCUGUUUAGUUCUGUCUGGCAUUCAGCACAUGCCUGUGUGAAGGCAGACAGCUGCUCAUCUUCGUCAAGGCCACACUGCAUGUCCAUGGUUCAACGAUCGGGGAACCAGGCCCCAGCCAGGUCUCCUGCCAGGGCAGUCUUCCCUUCCUGCACUCCACGGUGCUGGAACCCAAACUCCACAACAGAAGUCUUGGUGCUCUUGAAGGAUAAAGGAUGACUUAAAGUGUUCUUUGAGCAGGGUGUUUUGGGGCCAAGGAAAAGGUUAAUCUUUGGAGGGCCCUCCUCCUCUGGCUAGGGGACCCCUUGCCCAAUACACAAUUCCUGCUAGGAACUUGGGGUUCCCUACCAUCCCACAGCAUCUACAUCAGCCCCACCCACACCCCAGAAACCUCAACAAAUCUAUUCAAUGCAGAAUCCAUACAACAGCACACACCCCAUUUAUUAUUUCAAAAUAUUUUGUUACAAAAGGAAAAAAAAUACAAUGCAGUAUAAAAGAUUGACAGCGUCAUCAAGUUUAUUACACAAUUUUCAACCUAUCAGAAAGACAAACAAAUCACCGACAACGGGGGACGGGGCCUUGGCCUUUUUAGGGUGGGGAUUCUUUUCCUUUUGCUAUCAGGAAAUAAAACUAAAAAUUGUGUCAUUGAGUAAAAACAAAAAAUGGGGAGAAAAUAAUUCUCCAGGUAAACAGCUUCUCUGAUAUUCUAUAUACUGUUUUCCUUAGACUCACCUUACUUGGUUUUCUCUACAUUUUAAAAAGACACACGGAGCUGCUCUCAAGGGUAAGCGCAUCACUUACCACCUGGCCAGCGGGGCAGGGUGCCGUGGUCUGAGGCGGAGGGGCACAGGGCUGGGGGACGGGAUGAAGGCUACAGUCUGUAGCCUGUCCCAGGGGAAUGUGCCUCUCCAACCCUGGGCUCCCCAGUGACUGAGGGGUGUUUCAGAAACGUGCUAGGAACAGAGGAAGGGUUCAGUCCAACUCAGCCUCUCCCCUGAGCGAGAAGGGUCUCUGUGACCCUGUGCCCCAGCCCCAUCCGGCCUCCCACUCGGUGUCAGGUGCCCUGGAGAGGCAUGCAGAGUAGCCUCACCCUGGGCACUACAGGACCCUGCUGCUGGUACUUCCUUCAGUGGCAACCACAGGACAAUUUGGGUGUUUUGGGAAAAGCAACUCCAUCUGUCUGGGUAGAACAUGGCCUGAGUGCUGGUCCUUAAAACUCUGGGCUAGGCUCCGUUUCUUCCUCACUGCUUACCAGAGGCAGGAAAGACCUUCAGGUAGAGUGGAGCUCAUGAGUCAGAAGGUGAAAGGACACCAAAGCUGACUUCAUCUGCCUAGCAGUGCCACUCACCCCAUGAUGUGUACAAGUAUGUACCUGGGGACACAAGUCCAUGCUUAGCUUAGGCUGAGAAAGGGAGAGGCUGGGAAGCUGGCCAGAUCCCACCCAGGCUGCCUCCUCCCUGCUCCUCUGACACUUGG
Chinchilla lanigera (long-tailed chinchilla) is the source of this 2951-nucleotide long non-coding RNA. RefSeq lists it as uncharacterized. The record is from RefSeq and is a predicted model, not a curated record. NCBI's taxonomy places the organism in Eukaryota, Metazoa, Chordata, Mammalia, Rodentia, Chinchillidae. The transcript has 2 exons.